UCGCCUCUCCAACUGUUCCUUUAUUUUAUUUUUUUGUGCAAAAAUUGGGCUCAAUAAAGGAACAGUUGGAGAGGCGA
This 77-nucleotide microRNA precursor is filed under the name Trypanosoma vivax Y486. Lineage: Eukaryota; Euglenozoa; Kinetoplastea; Trypanosomatida; Trypanosomatidae. The record is from RNAcentral.